Molecule: ribosomal RNA, 253 nt
Filed under: uncultured bacterium
Lineage: Bacteria
Description: partial 16S ribosomal RNA
Rfam family: Bacterial small subunit ribosomal RNA
Source: RNAcentral
UACAGAGGGUGCGAGCGUUAAUCGGAAUUACUGGGCGUAAAGCGUGCGUAGACGGCUAUCUAAGUCGGGUGUGAAAGCCCCCGGCUCAACCGGGGAACGGGCGCCGAUACGACCGGCCUGGAGGGACGUAGGGGGACCUGGAACUUCCGGUGGAGCGGUGAAAUGCGUUGAGAUCGGAAGGAACGCCCGUGGCGAAAGCGAGGUCCUGGACGUUUUCUGACGCUGAGACGCGAAAGCCAGGGGAGCGAACGGG